RNAcentral lists this ribosomal RNA (898 nucleotides) under Frigoribacterium sp. PDD-63b-3. Its description in RNAcentral is "bacterial SSU rRNA". It matches the Rfam family "Bacterial small subunit ribosomal RNA", at positions 543 to 1442 of the family's 1533-position model. The record is from RNAcentral. Lineage: Bacteria; Bacillati; Actinomycetota; Actinomycetes; Micrococcales; Microbacteriaceae.
GUCCGGAAUUAUUGGGCGUAAAGAGCUCGUAGGCGGUUUGUCGCGUCUGCUGUGAAAUCUGGGGGCUCAACCCCCAGCCUGCAGUGGGUACGGGCAGACUAGAGUGCGGUAGGGGAGAUUGGAAUUCCUGGUGUAGCGGUGGAAUGCGCAGAUAUCAGGAGGAACACCGAUGGCGAAGGCAGAUCUCUGGGCCGUAACUGACGCUGAGGAGCGAAAGCAUGGGGAGCGAACAGGAUUAGAUACCCUGGUAGUCCAUGCCGUAAACGUUGGGAACUAGAUGUGGGGACCAUUCCACGGUCUCCGUGUCGCAGCUAACGCAUUAAGUUCCCCGCCUGGGGAGUACGGCCGCAAGGCUAAAACUCAAAGGAAUUGACGGGGGCCCGCACAAGCGGCGGAGCAUGCGGAUUAAUUCGAUGCAACGCGAAGAACCUUACCAAGGCUUGACAUAUACCGGAAACGGCCAGAGAUGGUCGCCCCGCAAGGUCGGUAUACAGGUGGUGCAUGGUUGUCGUCAGCUCGUGUCGUGAGAUGUUGGGUUAAGUCCCGCAACGAGCGCAACCCUCGUUCUAUGUUGCCAGCACGUUAUGGUGGGAACUCAUAGGAGACUGCCGGGGUCAACUCGGAGGAAGGUGGGGAUGACGUCAAAUCAUCAUGCCCCUUAUGUCUUGGGCUUCACGCAUGCUACAAUGGCCGGUACAAAGGGCUGCGAUACCGUAAGGUGGAGCGAAUCCCAAAAAGCCGGUCUCAGUUCGGAUUGAGGUCUGCAACUCGACCUCAUGAAGUCGGAGUCGCUAGUAAUCGCAGAUCAGCAACGCUGCGGUGAAUACGUUCCCGGGCCUUGUACACACCGCCCGUCAAGUCAUGAAAGUCGGUAACACCCGAAGCCAGUGGUCACUAA